GUUAAUGUAGCUUAACAACAAAGCAAAGCACUGAAAAUGCUUAGAUGGAUGAUUAUUAAUCCCAUAAACA
RNAcentral lists this transfer RNA (70 nucleotides) under Aethomys hindei (Hinde's rock rat). RNAcentral's name for it is "tRNA-Phe". It matches the Rfam family "tRNA". Rfam says of the family: Transfer RNA (tRNA) molecules are approximately 80 nucleotides in length. Their secondary structure includes four short double-helical elements and three loops (D, anti-codon, and T loops). The record is from RNAcentral. Lineage: Eukaryota; Metazoa; Chordata; Mammalia; Rodentia; Muridae.